GAUGAACGCUGGCGGCGUGCCUAACACAUGCAAGUCGAACGAAGCUCCCCGAAUUGAGUUUUCGGACAAGAGGAAGGGAUGACUUAGUGGCGGACGGGUGAGUAACGCGUGAGCAACCUGCCUCGGAGUGGGGGACAACAGUUGGAAACGACUGCUAAUACCGCAUAACGUGCAGAGGGGACAUCUCCUUUGCACCAAAGAUUUAUUGCUCUGAGAUGGGCUCACGUCUGAUUAGUUAGUUGGUAGGGUAACGGCCUACCAAGACUGCGAUCAGUAGCCGGACUGAGAGGUCGAACGGCCACAUUGGGACUGAGAUACGGCCCAGACUCCUACGGGAGGCAGCAGUGGGGAAUUUUGGACAAUGGGCGCAAGCCUGAUCCAGCCAUUCCGCGUGCAGGAUGAAGGCCUUCGGUUGUAACUGCUUUGUACGGUACGAACGGACGAGCUCUAAUACAGUUGCUAAUGACGGUACCGUAACGAAUAAGACACCGGCUAACUACGUG
RNAcentral lists this ribosomal RNA (503 nucleotides) under uncultured bacterium. RNAcentral describes it as "bacterial SSU rRNA". It matches the Rfam family "Bacterial small subunit ribosomal RNA", at positions 28 to 507 of the family's 1533-position model. The record is from RNAcentral.